Molecule: ribosomal RNA, 1344 nt
Filed under: Triticum aestivum (bread wheat)
Lineage: Eukaryota; Viridiplantae; Streptophyta; Magnoliopsida; Poales; Poaceae
Description: partial small subunit ribosomal RNA
Source: RNAcentral
AUGCCCUCCUGGGCAGGGCACGCGCGCCCCUCUGCGCUCGGCUGCCGCCCCUCCGCGCUUUCCCGCCGCCGCCACGCGCCUGGGUGGCCACUGAGGCUCCCGGCCUCCUGGUCAACCAGCACGGAGCCGAUGCAUCGACACCAACGCGGGAUCCGUCUGCCCUUCUCGCUCGCUAUCACGGGAGAAUUGCUGCUGCUGAUCCCUACCUCCACCCCCAAACCACACCCGUCCAUGGUCGCCGAGGCCAGUCGCAUCAUGGAUAUAUGUGACAAUUGGUCAUAUAUAUGCAGGCCUGACUUGUUUCUUCGAAGGGGACAAAUUUGUCCAAUAUAUGCAGAUUCCCCUUCAAUCCGAAGCAUAGGAAAUGGAAAAUUUACCAAGAGCUAUGUGAGAAAUCAUCAAGGGAACGACCUACGUAAAUGCGCUAAAAGGGAAGAGAUCACGUGGGGGGAAGGAAAGGAAGGGAAAUGGAGAAGAAAUAAUUCACUAGGAGCCGUCAUAAGGCUACCAGAGCCAAAGACGGUGUUCCAUGCGACUGCACGCGCUCGCAUGAGCGGUCGUUUGGUGUGGAAACCGAGGCAGAAAGGGGAGAAAGAGGAGCGUCAAGCACAGCCAAAACCUGUUCAUCAUCAUCUUCAUCCACAAACCCUAGCCACCACCAUUUUCAUCUCCCUACCCGUCUCCACCACCAUAGUGCUCUCUCACCUAGUUCAUACUUGUAAUCAUGCAUCUCACAAGGCAUCCACUGGCAACCCCAUGAGACGGAUAGGGCCUUCGUACAUUAGCCCAGUUGCGUCCAACAAGCGUCCAAUAGGAUUUACCGCCCGCGCCACCCGAUUUCUUCCGGCGACCGUUCCGGUGCUUCCCCGGUCUAUCCCCACGCGGCAGCGGUUUCCUCCGUCUCCCUCUAGUCACCGCCUCCUCGCGCGCGGUAGUCCUCCGACGAACAGCGCCCGGCCGCCCGCUGCCGCUUGGCGCCCGCAAGGUGUUCGACAAAAUGCCCGCAAGAUGAGUUCGUCGUAUGAUUCUUCUGAAGAAGAAUUCGAUAUGGAAGAGGAGGAGGAUCUUGCAAUGAUCCUAGCUAUGCACAUCAAUAAAAAACCGAAACACGGUGAUUCGGUUAUAGGUCGGCAGAAAAUUUGGAGGGAUAUGAUCGAUGCCCACAACAGAUUGAUGAGGCACUAUUUUGUGGAUAAUCCCACAUACCCCGAGUCGUACUUUCGUCGCCAGUUUAGGAUGGGCGCCGAGUUGUUUGGGCGCAUUGCAGAGAAACUAGCGAGCCAUGAUCGUUUUUUUCAACAGAGGAGGAAUGCCGCCAGAGAGCUCGGGCAUAGCACCUUUUAG